RNAcentral lists this non-coding RNA (30 nucleotides) under Rattus norvegicus (Norway rat). The record is from RNAcentral. Lineage: Eukaryota; Metazoa; Chordata; Mammalia; Rodentia; Muridae.
UGAGAAUCUCAUUUUUCAGAUGGGCUGAGU